Peromyscus californicus insignis is the source of this 4457-nucleotide long non-coding RNA. RefSeq lists it as uncharacterized. The transcript is spliced from 2 exons. The record is from RefSeq and is a predicted model, not a curated record. Lineage: Eukaryota; Metazoa; Chordata; Mammalia; Rodentia; Cricetidae.
UGGCCGGUCUGGGUUUUUGAUUCUUGAAAAACACCCUUGCAGAACAUUUGCCCAAACGUUCCUCAGCUUCCUGCAAUAAAAGUUUUGAAGUUACCCAAGAAGGUUCCUUAUCAACUGUGCCCACUGCAAUUCACACAAACACCCAGACUGAGAAUCCAUUGAGCUUGGCAAGCUGGCAUCAACAGAGGGGAUUUAACUUUAGAGAAGGUGAUUUUUGUGCUCGGGGCUUGAGGUUAGCGGGAACUGUAAACUGGCUAGAACCCAGAAUCACCUGGGAGACGGACCUCUAGGCAUGCCUGGGGUGGGUUGUCUUGAUUGUAUUAAUCAGUCUACCUGUUGUUGGGUGUCUGUGAUCCUGGAUUAUGUAAAUGGAGAAGAGAGGGAGCUGAGCAGGCCCCAGGGUCAUCACUCACUGCUUUCUGAUUGUGGGUGCACUGUGACUUCCCACUGAUGGACUGUGCCCUGGAACUGUGGGCCAGACAAACCCUUUGUCUCUUGUUGCUUUUGUCUGUAUUUUACCACAGCGACAGAAAGGAAAUGAAAACAGAGUAGUCCUUCAGUCUUGCUGUCGUUUCAACUUUUUACCUUCUGAUUUCAUCUUUACGUACCAAUGCUGGGUGGACCUCUUGUGAAGAAAUUGCAUUGCUGUCUGUUGAGCCCUUCUUGGCUCAUACUUCCAGGAUAGUAGCUGCUUCACUCUGUCUGGAACUAACACUAUGGUACUUGGACAUUACGCUUACUAACUUGAGUCAGAAGACGAUGCUGAUUCCUAUUGACAAAAAUACCAGCACGUGCACGCAUGAAUUAGCUCCUUUCCUAAAGACCAAAAUGCUAACUUCUAAAAAGGAACCCACUUCACGUCUUCAGCUCACAUAACUGGUUCCUAUCUGAGCUCAGCUACUAACCUAGGCUAUAAUAAUUCUUCCUCCUUAUUCUGAGAUCUCUUUCAAAUUAAACACGCCAAUCAUCCAGAUAGGACAACUUCAGCCACUGAGUGACACUUGCGUGCACUUAGACUGUGGAUCCUGUGACCACCCCCACUUAUUUCAAAUCCGAAGACUUCAGGUGUCUGCUCUUGGAUAGUGAUUUUUCCCCAUUUUGGUCAAGAUUCUUUAACUUGACCAUUAAAGCCAAGGACCUAUCCCUAGAAAAAUGCACAGGCUCAUACCAUGGGCAUUAGACUUGGAAUGAGGAGUUCACAUUCACUAGCCGCAGCCCCACCCAAACCAAGCCGUGGUCUCCUAGUCAGGGUGUCCUAUCAGAACAUGGCUGGUGGAAUAGUUGAAGCAAUAACCUUCAUUUCUCUCCUCCGCCCUCCCCCCCUUUCUUUUUCUGAGACAGGGUUUUCUCUGUGUAGCUUUGGAGCCUGUCUUGGAACUAGACCAGGCUGGCCUCGAACUCACAGAGAUCUGCCUGCCUCUGCCUCCCGAGUGCUGGCAUUAAAGUUGUGCACCACCACCGCCUGUCCCUUCGUUUCUUUUUAGUCAUUUAAAUGGCAUCCUGGUUUUGAGGCAAGAACCAGAAAUAAACUCAAAAGGUCCACUGUGAAAGAAAUUACAAUCAAAGUUGGGUCUUCAAAAUAAGCCGGCUUCUAGAACUGAAACAAACUUUCCAUUGGGUAAAUUUUCUCUAGGAGUGUCUGUUUCUGAUGGGAGGAGGGGUUUCCAGAGUGCACUAACUCACAUGCUAAUUAGUAGGGCAGCAGAGAAAAAUUGAAAGGCUCCUCAAGCUAUCAGAGAAGGCCCCCCCUCCUUUGAUGUUAGCCCUUUUCUGGGAAGAGGAAGAGAGCUAGGUAUUUAUGUCCUCUCCGUGUGCCUCCCAUCAGACAGCUCUGCUGUGCUGUGCUGUGAAGAUGAAAGACUGACCUUCACUCCAGUUAGCUGGCUGCACUCUUAGAGUACCGGCCCAUCAUAUCCAGAGGAGCGCGUUGUUGAUCUCGUACUGUGCCAGCCUGCCAACUAGAAAUGUCACCAGCUGACAGGAAAAAGAACAUAUUGGCAUUUCACAGUGAGUCAUUCUAAGGACGAUGAAGUGUGAGGAAGGACACCCAAGGGAGUUGUGAAAUUCUCUCCCAGGAGGCCCUAAGGAAGAGGGAAUGACAGGUAUGUGGACGGUUCUAAAUGCAGACAUAUGAAACCAGUAACUGUUGAAGCCAUUACUGAGAGAUCAGAAAAGGGGUCUCCAAGCAUGGUCCAGGAAUUCCCAACUGCUGCCACAGAGCUCUGCAGCCCAAUAUCUGUGACCUGAGCCUUUGACCAGGACAGAUAUGUGAUCAACCAAAAUUCCUCCAAUUUGCAUGGCCCUUAUUUACAUGUUAGAGAUUGCACAAUCGGAAAUUAUGUGCAAAGUGGCUCACAAUAACUUCCCAGAACAGUACAGCUGCCAAUCUGAACUGUGUCUUUGCAUGACGGGAAUUACACACCAUGCAAUGACUUUCGAACACCAUCUCCCAGAAGAAAUGGUUAUUUCAAGAAAAUGGAAGUGCUGGGCAUAGGAAACCUCCCUACAAGUCAUUGGUCAGGGAGGCCAGAGAGGUACUUAAAAAUCCGUAACUAAAUAUUAGGUUCCUAUUUCUGAAGACUUCAAGCAUGGUUGCAGGACAUCAGGAAAUCAAUCUCAAACUGACAAGGAAGCUCUCCCUGCUGGCUGGGUUUCAUCGCGCUAGAAGGUGCUCCACAAGCUGCUGGGGGAGGAAAGCCAUCAACGGUCUUAUUCAGCACUGGGGCCUGCGAGCUGCAACACUGACCUGCCAGCAAAGCUGUGGCCGUGGGGGCAAUAGUGGCAUGCAGCUUACGGAGGUAAGCCAUCAGUUUCUGCUAGAACUCGAGGUCUGCUCCAUGGGACUGAUGGCUUGUCUGCUCCAGGAAGCCUUGUCAUAAGCCCAGGGCUUGGGAAAUCAGAGGCCCCGGGGGUGUUGUUUUGAUAAAUGGUCAUGCCAUCACACUGCCUUCUUAGCUAUUUAUGUUUAUACCCAUAGAUUUGCGUUGCUUCCACCUUGGUCAGGGAAGCUUCUUUUUCAGGGAGUAGCGGUUAAUGCUGAGUCUCACGACUGGUCAAAAUGCUGGGAAGAAGUGGCCGUGAGUGCUCAGCCAGAGAUGAGAGGAUGGGACAUCUGGUCAACCUCGCCAUCCAAGUCUCAGAGAACAUCAAAGAAGAGUGCACAGAAAGAAUCUGAGUCACAGGUGAGGAUGAAACCUAUGGAAAGGUCUUCAUGCUAGAGAGAUGGGACAACAUUGAGAGCACUGGCUGCUCUUCCAGAGGACCCAGCUUUGAUUCUCAGCACGCACGUGACACAACUGUCUGUAACUCCAGUUUUAGGAGAGUCAAUGGCUUCUUCUAACUUCCAAGGGCACCAGGCACACACACAGUGCACAGACAUACAUCAAGGCAAAACACCCAUCCAUAUAAAACAGUUUUUUAAAAGGCUGUCUUCCAUGACAGGGCUGAUGCCCACAUCAACUCAACCCACAGCAGAUGUGGUGACCCACACAGGGUCAAGCCAGCCAAGAUUCUCCCAUGGAUUGGGGCCUCAGCAGGCCCCACCCUUGGCUAAGGAGCUACUGGCAAUUGAUGGCUGCUAGAGGAGGGAGACACUUCUCUUUGGUGAUGUGGCCACUGGUAGGUUGCCCAGGCCCCAGUGGAUGGCUCCACACACGUCUGUAUGUGGUCGCUACUGAUUGGACUCCGUGUGCUAAUCAUAAUAAUUACAGUAGUAAUAAUCACGGACCUGAACUCUGGAGGGAGAUAGGUUGGUGGGUGUUGAGGGAAUUGGAGAAAAGCACGAGGGGGUGGGAAAGCUCAAGCUAUAUUGUAUACAUGUAUGGAACUUUCAAAGAAUAGAUUAAAAUAUUUUAAAUGAAAAUUGAACAUAUUGACUUAAGAAAAAAACCCACCAUAUUUGUAAAAGAAAUCCCCCAAUGGAGUCCCUGCAACCUUCCCACUAGAUGCUAGUUACUGCCCAGCCUGCUGCCAUCUUACAGCAUGCUCAAUAAGCUAUCCCCUACUGUCCUGAAGGUAAGAUCAUUUGCUGUCUGCCGGUCUUUCCCCACUACUGUGGUGGGUACCCAGUCUUCUAUGAAGAUUCUCACUUUUUCCAUUAAAGACUGUGUGUAUUGACUUUUCUAAUAGGCCACAUCACUAAUUAUGGCAGCUUACCUCCUCAGAGUUGUAGCGCUCUGUGCUAAACACCAAGUUCACUUCACAUCCCUCUUGAGGGUCGACCUGAAAUACAGAAACUGAAUCUUAACAUAGUGGGAGCAUCACAAACAUUUUCAUAUCAACAAUCAUAUUCUUGUUGGGUUAUAGUGGGGCAUACCUUUAACCCCAGCACUCAGGAGGCAGAGGCAGACAGAUUUCUGUGUGUUUGAGGCCAGCCUGGUCUACAGAGUGAGUUCCAGGACAGCCAGGACUACAAAAUGAAUGUUUCAAAAUGAAAUAAAAUAAAUCAUGUUCUUAGA